GGGCCCUUAGCUCAGCUGGAAGAGCGCCUGGUUUACACCCAGUAGGUCGGCGGUUCGAACCCGUCAGGGCCCACCA
This 76-nucleotide transfer RNA is filed under the name Corynebacterium sp. RNAcentral describes it as "tRNA-Val". It matches the Rfam family "tRNA". Rfam says of the family: Transfer RNA (tRNA) molecules are approximately 80 nucleotides in length. Their secondary structure includes four short double-helical elements and three loops (D, anti-codon, and T loops). Further hydrogen bonds mediate the characteristic L-shaped molecular structure. tRNAs have two regions of fundamental functional importance: the anti-codon, which is responsible for specific mRNA codon recognition, and the 3' end, to which the tRNAs corresponding amino acid is attached (by aminoacyl-tRNA synthetases). tRNAs cope with the degeneracy of the genetic code in two manners: having more than one tRNA (with a specific anti-codon) for a particular amino acid; and 'wobble' base-pairing, i.e. permitting non-standard base-pairing at the 3rd anti-codon position. RNAcentral also lists the same sequence under 2 other names. Lineage: Bacteria; Bacillati; Actinomycetota; Actinomycetes; Mycobacteriales; Corynebacteriaceae. The record is from RNAcentral.